GAGAUGGUUGUAGGUGGAAAUACUCCUGCUGACGGAGAAGUUAUUCAUUUGACCGUGGAUUAUAGCAAGAAACCUUUAACAAUCGACCCCAUUUUCAGGCGUCAACUUGGUCAGAGACUUGGCGCUGUUGGUUUCUACCUAGAACGUAAAUUUGGUUCUCCUCAAGACGUUGAAGGAUGUUUGGUUGGUAACGAGAUUUUCAUCGUGCAAUCGCGGCGCUUGCCGCUGUUGGUUUCUACCUAGAACGUAGAUUUGGUUCUCCUCAAGACGUUGAAGGAUGUUUGUUUGGUAACGAGAUUUUCAUCGUGCAAUCACAGACUCAACCACAGUGAGAGCCUGUUUUUUGCACUGAACUUCCUCACAAUAGUGCAUGUAUAAUUCAACAUCUCUUUG
Molecule: long non-coding RNA, 393 nt
Filed under: Nicotiana benthamiana
Lineage: Eukaryota; Viridiplantae; Streptophyta; Magnoliopsida; Solanales; Solanaceae
Description: long non-coding RNA (NBEN_LNC040884)
Source: RNAcentral